UACGUAGGUGGCGAGCGUUGUCCGGAUUUACUGGGCGUAAAGAGCGCGCAGGCGGUCGUUCAAGUCGCGUGUGAGAGCCCCCGGCUCAACUGGGGAGGGUCACGCGAUACUGAUCGACUCGAAGGCAGGAGAGGGAAGUGGAAUUCCCGGUGUAGUGGUGAAAUGCGUAGAUAUCGGGAGGAACACCAGUGGCGAAGGCGACUUCCUGGCCUGUUCUUGACGCUGAGGCGCGAAAGCUAGGGGAGCAAACGGG
Molecule: ribosomal RNA, 253 nt
Filed under: uncultured bacterium
Lineage: Bacteria
Description: partial 16S ribosomal RNA
Rfam family: Bacterial small subunit ribosomal RNA
Source: RNAcentral